CAGUAGCCGCGGUAAUACGAAGGGUGCAAGCGUUACUCGGAAUUACUGGGCGUAAAGCGUGCGUAGGUGGUGGUUUAAGUCCGUUGUGAAAGCCCUGGGCUCAACCUGGGAAUUGCAGUGGAUACUGGGUCACUAGAGUGUGGUAGAGGAUAGUGGAAUUUCCGGUGUAGCAGUGAAAUGCGUAGAGAUCGGAAGGAACAUCUGUGGCGAAGGCGACUAUCUGGGCCAACACUGACACUAAGGCACGAAAGCGUGGGGAGCAAACAGGAUUAGAUACCCGGUAGUCCCUGUCUCUUAUACA
RNAcentral lists this ribosomal RNA (301 nucleotides) under uncultured bacterium. Its description in RNAcentral is "partial 16S ribosomal RNA". It matches the Rfam family "Bacterial small subunit ribosomal RNA", at positions 509 to 808 of the family's 1533-position model. The record is from RNAcentral.